This 8059-nucleotide long non-coding RNA is filed under the name Medicago truncatula (barrel medic). RNAcentral's name for it is "long non-coding RNA (MTRU_LNC006426)". The record is from RNAcentral. Lineage: Eukaryota; Viridiplantae; Streptophyta; Magnoliopsida; Fabales; Fabaceae.
GGGAUGUAAGCAAAGCCUUUGACAGAUGGAAAAUUAACCAUAGAUGAAUUGUUGGAUUGUGGUAGAGAUGAAGAUGUAAGGGUAAAGGUGUCAUUUUGCGUUUGGCUAAGGCCUCAGGGGUAUUUUCGUCUGUUCAAGCCAAAAUAUGUUGAGUCAGACUGCCACGUCAGCUAAUCAGUGAUGUGGCAGUAAUUAACUGGGUUCAGGGACGAAAUUUUAAAUGAUUAAUGAUUGCAAGGCUAGUUUGCAAGGAUUAGCAAAUACAGGACCAAUUUUUAAACGGCCCCUAAUCGCAAGGAUCAAAUACAUAUUUAAGCUAUUAAAUUAAUAUAUCCAUUUUCAACUUGUGGUAAGUGUGUACCGGCUGAACUAAUGAACUGGUUCUGAGUUUCAUUUUGAAGGUACAUGUUGAGAUUGAACUCACUCUCCACGUGCAAUAAUCAUGUUCAAGUUCAACGGUGUAUUCUUUGCUUACGUGUUCGCACUUUCCACGUGAUUCAUUUUGCAUGGUGAUUCAUGAUGAUACUAAUAAUUCAUGCACAGUACGUUAUUUGAAAAUUAUUAUUGUUACGAACUCGUAUUCCAUGCAGCUGCUAGAAAAAUCAUUAAAUAAUAUGUACCAAACAAAAAUCAUUAAAUAUAACUCAGGCUGUCUAUUUUAGACGUUUGAUGAAAUAUGAUUAAUUAGGGAUGACAAUGAAGUGUGUUUACGCCUAAUCUUUUUUUUUUUUUUUUUUUUAAGUUGUUAGUCGAGUUCUUGCAGUAGCCAACUAAAAACUAUUGGAUACGAGUGCAGCAUAUCUUUCUCGUGUCUAUUAAGUCUCACGAAGAUCGUAGGAGUGUUAGAAUCCGUCAUAGAUACAUUUGUAAUUGAUAAUUUAGCUACAAAGUCUCGUGUUUUAUUUAAUUGAACUAAUGGAUAAUGAUUAUUUUUUCCGAAUAUGAUCAAAGAUUGAAAAAAUGUAUCGAUCAUGAAAGUGGAAUGCCCGAAAUAGGGAAAAGCCAAAUCAAAUGUGGGGCGCAAUAUACACCCAUCAACACACACCGACACACAUACCAUCCACAAGAAUAGCUUAAAACGAUAUUCAUCGCAAGAUUUCGUAGGCAACGAUGUUUGGCUAGUAGAAUACAAGCUCUGCCUAUAAAUAUUCAUUGUAAACAUCAUUUUUCACAUACACAAUCAAAUCAAUAAUUUUUCUCUCAAUUUAUUUUUUUCUUUAUGCUUUACAAAUCGAUAGAUAUAGUUUCUUCCUUAGCGUUAUUGUUUGAAGAAAAAUGAAUCAUAGAUGAGAGUUAUUAGUUGAAUCAUCGACUAACUUUUAAGUUUGAUAAUAGAGUAAAUUAUUAAUUUUGUUCUUGAAAUUAUAAUCGUUGAUCAUUUUUGUUUCUGAAAUUUGCGAGAUAACAAAAGCAUCUCUCAAAUUGAAGAAUGUUCAUUAAAAUUCAAUAUUAAAUUUUGUCAAUACAAAGUAUAUGAGGUGAUGCGUUAACUGUAAUGUGAUACUCUAUGGAUGUCAUAUUAAUGCCGCAUUCUUUCUUUCUAAUAAAAGAUCAAUUUUAAAAUAAGGUAAAAUAUAUUUAUGCAUGAGUGUACUUCUCUGCCGUUGAUGUUCAAAACAUGUUUCAAUGAGAGAACAUCUAAACAUUAAUCAUUUUUAUGCCUUCACUUGAAAAUAUUUCUCAAGAACUAAGGAUUAAAGUGAGAAGUAUUAUAUCUCAUCAAAUCAAAAUGAAUCUUAAGACUAAACGAGAGAUUGGGAAUCAACGGUAGUCAAAGUGAAACUACAUAGGUGUCUUAAGUUGAUUAUGAAACAACAGAACUAUUCAACUCAUAUAAUAGACAUGACAAUUUCAAACACUAAUCAAUGUAUCAAAGGUGGUGGAGAAAUCGAUAAAAGAUAGUGGACUAGAGAGCAUAUGCAAACGAGAAACAACUAUGAACAUAUAAUUUCAUCGUGUUUUGAGAGUCUACUUCAACAAACAAACAAAGAUCACAAACUCCCCAACAAAGUUGAGGUAAAUAAUAAUCCCCAAAGUUUUCAGCAAUAACGAUAACUAGAUUAAAUUUUGCAACAGUAAAAUAGUAAAUGGUCAAAUGAAUGUGAUGUUCGUGAUAUAUAUCUUAAAGGUGAAGAUAGUUUUCCUCUGGGAAUAUUAGAGCAUCCACAAUGGAGACAUUCCUUUUUGAGUAUUUAAAUGAGUUUCAUACUUAUUUAUAAUAUUUUAAUAGUAGUACAUAAUAAGCACUUAAUAUUUCCAAUCCAACAUCUCACACAAAUUUUGUAAAUGGGACUCACUAAUCAACUAUCAAUAACUUUAUAUCAUUACAUUUGUUAUGAAUACAAGUAAAUAGAGAUGGUAAUAAUAGAGAGAAUGAGAAGAAGAGAGAAUAGGAGCAGUAUUCUUAUUCACUGAUGUGUAUAUCAAUGUUACAAAUGAGCUCUAUUUAUAGGGAAAUAGAGUAGCUUAUGAAUUAAGCCCAAUAACCUAGUAGUAUGGCCCACUAACACAAUUGCUAUUUGGACAUCCACUAUUAAUAUUUAUAACACUCCCCCUUGGAUGUCCAUUGAGGAUAUGCCUCAUUAAAACCUUACUAUAGAGAAAACCUAAUAGGAGAAAAAUUCUAGUGAAGGAAAAAGAGUACAAUAUCCCUUUUGUGUAUGAUAAUCUGCCUCGUUAAAAACCUUACCAGAAAAACCCAAUGGGACAAAACCAUGGUUAAGGGAAAAAGAGUGCAUAACACAUUUAUGUCUCCCCCUCAUAAAGACAAUCAUAUAUGAGACGAAGAAAGUCAAAUAAUAUUUGUUCUAGUUACUCAAAAGUUUACUUGCAGCGACUUUGUUGAAAUAUCUGGUUUAUCUUCAUAGUCUUCUUCAAAUUAGUAGUGCUUGAGAAGUUUCUUCAUAUUGAGUUGUUGCAAGACCCCCUUUAAGAAAUCAACAAGUUUCUUGUACUUGUAAAAUCAUCAUCCUUGAUAAAAGAGCGUUCUUCACUUCCUUGAUUAUGUUGCUUCUUUAAGAUACAAAAUAUAUGCUUGACUUUGUUCUGAUAUCUGUAUUUACUAACAUUGGCAAACCAAAAUACCACAAUAAAUAUCAUUAACAAAAUACAUUGAUGUCCUCGUUUGAACUAAGAUAUGGUACUUCAGGACCAAUUCAAGUUGUUUAUCAUUUUCUUGAGGACAUGAUCUAUACUAAUAUCAAGUGACAUCACAAUCAUUAUAGUACACAGUCAACUAGAUGUGUCCAUAUCAAAUACAUUUGUUAUAUAAGUUUCUUGAUGCACAAAAUCUCAAUUAAAUAAUAAAUCUGCAAAUCCAAACAAACUUUGUGCAUGCAACAUAUUUAAUUUCAAAUAUUUCUAUAAUCAAUAGAUGUUAGAAUCUCUUCAGGAGUUCAAUAAUAUUUAUACCAUCAUCAUUAAAAUGAUUAUAACAAAUUCAUUUUCAAAGAUUUAGAAUGGACAUAUGAUGUCAUUUCUUCAAUAUCUCACGAAAAUUAAUUUUAUCGGAGAGUUUCAUAUACUCAUCACUAUCACGUGAGUCAUACAACUAUAUUGCAACACAUCUUUCAUAUAAAUUGAGCCUUUCAUGUAAUACUAAACUUAAUCAAGCAAGAAAAAGUUCUUGAAUUAACUUCAGGUAAAUAUGUCUCUUAAACAUAAACGUUAGACAUAUAUCAGCUCACUUCCGGUGAACAUAUCAAACUCUUUACAUAUGUAUUUUAUCAAUGUAAUUCUCUUUCGCGCGAAAAAUCUUAUAUAUCUAAUUAACUUCACAUCUUCAAGUGUGCGGACCACAAGUCCAAAAAGUUCGACUUUACAAAGCGAGUUUGAUUUCAUGUUUUAAUCCAUGAUCCUCGUUAACACUCAUCACAUAUAGCGCUAUGUUAUAAGCAAAAACAUCGUCAACGUUGACUUUAAAUUUUGUUCCACCUCAUUCCAUUCAUGACAUAAUUUAUCGAGAUCUCUUUAUUUUUCAUACAUCUCAGGUACCUGGUCGGUUCUUCUGGAACUUAAAAUCAAAUAUGUCAGAUGACUCUUUUAGAGUUUACACAUCCUUAUUUGGGUUAUCUUUAUUUUUAGCUCCUUUUAUUGUUUGAGGAUUUUAUAUGUGGAACUGAUUGGUCUACCACGCUUCAUGCGCAGUUGAGACUCAUUUGCAAUAAUCGACAGGGACAUCUAUUUCGAUUGGAGCAUUAGCAGCUGCUUAUUUUAUUUGUUUAACUUUGCAAACGAGUUAUAUUUUGAGGAUCAAGAUGAGACAAUAAUAUUUUCUUUCAAAUAAUUCAUUUGAACUUCAGGUUCACAUUUUCAGCUGCUUAUUCUCUCCCCCUAAUAUUGGGAAAACUAAUCAGCCUACUAGGCUGUAAACAAGUUGGCUCAAUACAAUUUAUAAUAGAUGAAGAUUCAUAUCAAAUAGAUUUUCCCAAUAUUCUAUCAUAUUCAAUCUAAGUGCAUUAUAUUGGAGUAAUUGUGAUAGACACAACACAUCCAAAAAUUUACUUAGGUGAGAAAUAUUAAGUUCUUAACCAAAAUAUAAAUUAUAAAAUAAGGGGAGGACUUACAUAUGGUAACUUGUUGGCUUGAUGCGAAUCAAUAUUUCAACAUAUUGGUUAUUCCCAAAGUAGAGUUUUGAAGGUAUGGUCUCAUAAGUAUAAAUCAUACAAUUAACUUUAGACGUCUAAAGAAUGGAUCUUCAAGUCCAUUUUAUGAGCAUAUGCUACAAGUUGUUUAAUAUCAAUUUCAAUUGAUAAAUGAUACUUAUCAAAUGUUUUUUUGAAAAGUUCAGAAAAUAAACUCUUUGUCAAAUUUGUUGACAAGAUAAUCGCACAAACUUCUGGUUUGUGGGUUAAUAAUAACCAUACAUGUCAUUUAGUUCAUCUACACUUUCGAUGUAUUGAUUCACAAAUAUCAACUUAUACGCAUUUACAUAUAUUGAGAGACCAAAAUUCUCAAAUUUUCUACUUUGAAAAAAUAGUUAAGACACAAAAAGUAUUUUAUUGAAAAAUCUUCUGGCUCUUCAAUACAAAUUCAUUAAAAUUUAUUUAUUUUUCGCAUCAUAACGAAUCCGGGAUAACCCAACCGGUAUUGCCAACUACAAACUUAAUAUAAUUUGUAAACUUCUGGUUUACAAUAAUAUGUGCUUCCGUUGCACUAAUAUAAGUGUAGUACAGAUCAGAGGAAAAUAACUUUUCCACAACACUUAUUUUCUUCAGAGUAUAUUUCACCGAAUAACAAAAGAAAAAAAAUCAUGCUCUUCAGAAGCCUUCAUUAAUCAUGUAGUUCUUGAGGAACUACAAGAUAAAUCAUUAUUUGAGCAAUCCUUCAGGGAUUGUUUAAUACACUCAAAAUGAGCAUUCUAAACAUGAUUUGUAAACUUCUGGUUUACAAUAUUACGUGUUUCAUUUGUUCUUAUCUAUUUGAAACAAUAAUAAACAAAAAAAAUAUAUCCGAGUGAAACAAUAUAAUAAAUAUUCUAAAUUUAUCUUUUGCAUUACCAUAGAUAGAAAUAUAGAUAAACGCAAAAUUUCUCCAAUAAACAAGACUUUAUAAAUCAUACCCAUUUCUCAGGUGAGUAAUAAAGCAACACAAACUGUCAAUAAGAUAUAUUUUCAAAGUUUGACAUAAGAGAAUAUGGAUAUCUCUCAUGUAAUAUUUACAAGAUAAAAAUCUUGUGGAAUAAGGAAGAAGAAAAUCUUAAUCAAAUAUAUUUUUGUUCAUAGAAUAAGAGAACAAUCUUGCAAGUUUAUGAAAGAAAACAAAGCAUAGAAGUUUAAAAUAAUACCUCAAACAAAAAUUCUUUGAUACUAAUUUUCAACUCAUCUAAGUUCAUACUAGUGGAAUUUUAUGACUUUGACAUGUAUCAUAUCAAUAGUAAUAUGUACUAAAUGAACUUCAAUAACCAAAGUGUUGGAUAUAUAAAACAAAUAGCAUGAAUCAUUCACUUCUGGAAAUGACGUUCAAUAUAUGAUGUGACAUUUCACUAUUUUAAUCAAUAACCACUUAUAAAUUUAACUAAUAUUUCAAAAAUAUUUUUUGAAGAUGUUUUCUUAAUUGUGCUACUUCAGGAGCAUAUUUGAGUGGUGUAUAAAUUAACAUAUUGUCUUUUUUUUUUCUCUCUCUUUUCCUUUUUUUUUUUUUUUUUCCGCAUCAAUGCGAAGAUCAAAUAGAUCUUUUAAACUUUAUCAUGAUCUAAAUGUAUAGUUCUUCGAGAACUCAUAUAUUCAUAGAUGUAUAUGUGUAGUUCUUCAGAAACUUACAAUCAAAUUUAUACAUCAAUAUAAAAAUAUCAGAUUUGUUAUGCAAAAGAAUUAGCUACCAAGAUUAAGAAAACAACCACUUUUUAGAUAUGCACUGACGUGCCAAACUGAAUCCAUAAUUUUAGCGAAAAAUAACUUAAGUUUUCAAAAUAAAACAAAAUUCUCUAACAAAUCCUUUCAAAAUUCUUUUAACACAUUAAAAAGACUUAAGAUACAAUCAAAAUAUAGCAUUACUUGUAAUCAUAGUUAUUCUAAAAUAACAGAUUUUCCUUAGCAAAAUGUAUUUCCUUUUGUAUUUAUCUUCGGCCAAUCAUGUCAUUUAAUCAAAUUAAACUCUUGGUAAUUGAAGGCAAUAAUGAAUCAUAAAUCGUAACUGAACUGGUUCCAUCAAAGUCGCUUAUUUUGUUAUAAGAACUUGAUUGCAUCAUUAUUAGUUUGUUAAUAGAAAAGCAAAUGGUGCUAUUUAUGCUAUUUAAAUGCAAGAAGAAACACAUGUAUGAUGUCAUGUCCUUUUAAUUUAAAAAAUAAAGAGUAUAAUUAAUUAUAAGAUAAUUACUACAAAAUAAGUGAUGCUAUUUCUUAGGUGAUAAGUGUAACACAUGAUGACUAAUGACUACAUGUUCUUCAAUUUAAAAAAAAUAGAAGUAUACUUCUCAUAAUUAGUUGAGAAAAAUGCUACACGUUAAGGUUAUAGUUCCAUAUUUAUCGGAUAAAAAAANNNNNNNNNNNNNNNNNNNNNNNNNNNNNNNNNNNNNNNNNNNNNNNNNNNNNNNNNNNNNNNNNNNNNNNNNNNNNNNNNNNNNNNNNNNNNNNNNNNNAAGCUUUAUUCUUCUCAUCCAACAUUCGGCUCCAUGAAAACUAUUGCAGAUAUGGAAAGUAUGACUUUUGUUCAUUUUGAUGAUUUUAGAGAGAAUGGAAAGUAUGAUUUUUGUUCCUGCAUUCAUAAACAAACCAAUUCAUACAUAGCCUUAAACCAUUUCCCAGAUUAUGAAUUAUGUGGUAUAGUGCCAACUUAGUCGCACCUCUGUGAUCCUCUACGAAGCGGCGAACUUCAUCCAACCAUUUCCCAGAAAAACCCUUUGAUUUUGCAUUCGGAGAUAGAAUAUGCCACCUUUCCAACUGGGUAUUGACGAUAACGAUUUGAUUCGCCGGCGCCGCCGUGGUAGGUGGUAGGUUUUGUGGCUCCGAAUUGAAGGUGGAGCUACGUGAUGCGUGUUUAACAACAUUUUUGAGGAAUUUAUUGGAAUUGAAGAAACCCUAGAAAUUGAAUUUGGGGAAAAACGAUGAAUGAAGAUGAAGCAUGGAAACGAAAAUGCGGAAACUGAGUUGCGUUAUGUUUUGUUCUGAUUGUUCCUUCUUCCUUUCUUCAGUAACUACAUCAAUUAUCAAUUAUUAAAUUAAAAUAAAAAUUGAUAAAUAAGAAAGUGGAAAAUUAUGAAAAGGGAAAGGGAAACAAUUAGAUGUUUAGCUGUUUGUAUUGUUGUUAUAAUUGAUCAAAAAUGAUCUUUAGCUGUGUUGGGAUGUAAGCAAAGCCUUUGACAGAUGGAAAAUUAACCAUAGAUGAAUUGUUGGAUUGUGGUAGAGAUGAAGAUGUAAGGGUAAAGGUGUCAUUUUGCGUUUGGCUAAGGCCUCAGGGGUAUUUUCGUCUGUUCAAGCCAAAAUAUGUUGAGUCAGACUGCCACGUCAGCUAAUCAGUGAUGUGGCAGUAAUUAACUGGGUUCAGGGACGAAAUUUUAAAUGAUUAAUGAUUGCAAGGCUAGUUUGCAAGGAUUAGCAAAUACAGGACCAAUUUUUAAACG